GAUGAACGCUGGCGGCGUGCCUAAUACAUGCCAGUCGAGCGAACAGAUGAGGAGCUUGCUCCUCUGACGUUAGCGGCGGACGGGUGAGUAACACGUGGAUAACCUACCUAUAAGACUGGGAUAACUUCGGGAAACCGGAGCUAAUACCGGAUAAUAUAUUGAACCGCAUGGUUCAAUAGUGAAAGACGGUUUUGCUGUCACUUAUAGAUGGAUCCGCGCCGCAUUAGCUAGUUGGUAAGGUAACGGCUUACCAAGGCAACGAGGCGUAGCCGACCUGAGAGGGUGAUCGGCCACACUGGAACUGAGACACGGUCCAGACUCCUACGGGAGGCAGCAGUAGGGAAUCUUCCGCAAUGGGCGAAAGCCUGACGGAGCAACGCCGCGUGAGUGAUGAAGGUCUUCGGAUCGUAAAACUCUGUUAUUAGGGAAGAACAAAUGUGUAAGUAACUAUGCACGUCUUGACGGUACCUAAUCAGAAAGCCACGGCUAACUACGUG
RNAcentral lists this ribosomal RNA (497 nucleotides) under uncultured bacterium. RNAcentral describes it as "partial 16S ribosomal RNA". It matches the Rfam family "Bacterial small subunit ribosomal RNA", at positions 28 to 507 of the family's 1533-position model. The record is from RNAcentral.